Molecule: long non-coding RNA, 704 nt
Organism: Pseudopipra pipra
Lineage: Eukaryota; Metazoa; Chordata; Aves; Passeriformes; Pipridae
Exons: 3
Source: RefSeq, a predicted model, not a curated record
UCCUCCACCUGGCUGUGGUAAAAAUAAAUCAAAACUGAAAUCAGAACAGGAUGGGAUCUCCAAAACUCACAAGCUACUGAGAAGGACUUACUCUAGAACAGUUAAGGCAGAGGAUGUGUGUGCCACAAAAUCUCACAGAACCUUUGGAUGCUCAUUGUUGAGUGAUGCUAGGGCAGAACAGACAAUAGCUAUUAAAUCACACAAACUGUUGAACCGUUCUUGCUCUUCAGUUGUCAAGCAGGAGGAGUGCAUCACUUUAAAGCCACAUAAGCUAUUAAGUAGGUCAUGUUCUGGGGACCCUCGAUGUGAACACAACAGCACCUUGAAGUCCCACAAAUUUUUAAGCAGGUCCUACUCCAGUAAUCUUAGAAUGGAAGAAUUGGAUGGAUUGAAGAACCACAAAUUACUCAGCAAGACUUACUCCAAUGCCCCUAAAUCAUCCAGAAUGAAGCCUUUGAAAGAGUUCACCACAGCAGAGGGCAGGAGUCUCUCUCUUACCUCAGGGCUUAUUGGGAUAUUAACAUCAUCUUCCUCAUCUCCUUCACAAACUGCUCAAAAUUAUGGUGCAAAAUGCAUUUUGGUACAAGACCGUGGCUUUCUUGUGCAGACAAUUGAAUUUGCUGAGCAGCGGAUACCAGUAUUGAAUGAAUACUGUGUAGUCUGUGACGAACCCCAUGUGUUCCAGAAUGGCCCUAUGCUGAGGG